Molecule: long non-coding RNA, 1480 nt
Organism: Mauremys reevesii (Reeves's turtle)
Lineage: Eukaryota; Metazoa; Chordata; Testudines; Geoemydidae
Exons: 3
Source: RefSeq, a predicted model, not a curated record
GUCGUCAAUUAGGCAGGGAAGCACCUGAGCGUGAUACAAGAUUAAGGAUCUCAAUUAGAGAGGGAACUUCUGAGCAGAAAAGCUGCUGCUGCCAGUGAGACUGAGGGAUUGCAGAGAGGGACUCCUUCCAGCAGACUGCUAAACUGGGGAACUGGGAAGAUUCCAAGGUCUCUUCUACCAGAGUGAAAUCCAAAAAGGCUGGCAAAAAACCAACUGUGCACUUAGAGGUUCCAUCCGCAGAAGGCAAAUGGAGUCCAUCGCCCCAGGGCAACAGGACUAAAACUAUGGUUUCCUCUCCGAAACAAUCCAGGAGACACUGAUAGUGGCAAAUACCAAGGGAUGGUUGGUGCUGAGCUGUUGGAGGACCUCUCCUUUCCGGCUGCCAUUUGAAAAUGUUGUUUCAUGUUUGCUGGCUUGUUCCUUGGUGAAGCACCUGUGGAUGAGUUGGGUCCAGGAGUCUGCAACACUAGGAAUGUUACAUGUGUGUAUUGCCUUUCAUUCUGAAUGACUCCAAAUUUUAUUGUGGAAAAACACUUCCAUUCUCUGCUGGCCAAUUUUGAAAGGAAGUGAGAACUGCUUCCUUCAUGAUGGCUCACAGAAAAAUGAAAGUUGCCUCUCAAGAGGGAGUACCAUGAAAUAAUGAUCUAAGUAUGGCCAUAGAAAGGGGAGACCUCCUGAGCUGUAAUCCCUUUAUUGAGCCCUGCUACACUGGACCACUGACUUACUGUUAAUUCAGCAGAAAAGGUGCAUGUGGUACUUGACAGACCCAUUUAAAGUCAGAGCUCCAUACCCCAAGGAAUUUACAGUCCAGCUAAAACUCUUUAGCUGGUGACUAAUCUCACUGAGCUACUACUUCAGUGGGGUUAUUCACAUGCUUGGAUUUAGGCACAUGCUUACAAUCUCUGUUCAGCAAGGUAUGUAAUGGUUAAUUCACUACAUUGAAACAUCACUUUAUGUGAAACAUACUAUAGUGCUAGCAUGGAAAUUAGCUGACCUUCCUUUUGUAAGGCCUGGGUCAUGUAUCUUUGUUCCUUGGCUCCUCCUGUGGAUGAUUCAGAUGGAAGAGCUCAGAACGUUGGCCUCGCCUGGUGCCUUUCUUGGCACUGCUGCAAAAGUGAGAAAACUAGGAGGAUUAUAGCUCCCUGAUCAGGUGAGUUUAUGCAGGCAAAAUAUUCACUCAAGCCUGAGUAAGGACCACAUGUUCAGGCCCUAUAAGAUUACUAGAUUAUUGGAUGUAAACUAUAAAACACAACUUGCACUGAUGUCAUGGUUAACAUGUAACCAGCUUUAUGGGUACCAGUUGGAGGUUCUUUUGCUGCUUGGCUACUUUGCUCCUUCUGAUUCAUGUAACCUUUGCUUUAUGUUAUGUAAUUCAUCCCUUGGUGUGUCAGUGGACCAUUAGGGCUGUUUGUGUUUGAAGGGCUUUCAUGCAUGUCUCCCUUACAGAGAAAGAAACAUUAAAAUAGUAGAAAAAACAAGG